This is a non-coding RNA of Cucurbita pepo subsp. pepo (vegetable marrow), 683 nucleotides long. NCBI's taxonomy places the organism in Eukaryota, Viridiplantae, Streptophyta, Magnoliopsida, Cucurbitales, Cucurbitaceae. The record is from RefSeq and is a predicted model, not a curated record.
GUAAGGCAUUGAUGUUGGGAUCAUUGUGUCAAAGAAGGUUGACCGUCGGAAAUCGGUGUUGAGGACGUUGUGGGAUUGUCGGCGUGUCGCUGGAAUCGGGGAGGCGGAAACUAGAGUUUCGUCGCUUGUCGGGUAAGGAAGGCAAGGUUUUUGGAAUAGGGUCGAGCCGCAGACGCACACCCAACAGCUCCGGCAGCUUCGCACGUGUACACAGUGCGGGUCGGCUCGCACAUGUACGAAAUCGGCUCGGUUCCGUCAAUUCCCGCAGCUAACUUGGCGGCUUAGUUGGCCGGUUUGGCAAUUAGGCUUAGCGGCAAGGUAUCACUCUAAUAUAUCGAUUCCAAGGUUUUUGACCCUUCCGAAGCUGUUUCUGCCCUUAGUUUUACCAUCCGAGGGCGUAUUUAACCGCUGGGACUAGCUCGUUGAGAAUGACUUCAACCAAGACCAUCGAGGUAAAGGCAAGGCGCCAAUGUACGGUUGACGGUGGAGCUGAGGCCACCAUGGAAGUUGAAGACGUGAUAUUUUUAGGAGUUUACUUUUAUUAGACUGUUUUAAGUUAUAGCAUUGAGUAUUGUUUUAGUUGGAUUUAUUUUGAAUUCAGUAUUGAAGGUUUAUUUUCGGAGUUUAGGUUUUGUUUUGGAUUCAUGAACAUUUAUGAAAGACUCUUUCAAGGUUAUUUUUGA